RNAcentral lists this non-coding RNA (31 nucleotides) under Rattus norvegicus (Norway rat). Lineage: Eukaryota; Metazoa; Chordata; Mammalia; Rodentia; Muridae. The record is from RNAcentral.
UCAGUGUCUGUAGGUUAGCUUUGUAGACUCU